This 141-nucleotide ribosomal RNA is filed under the name uncultured eukaryote. Its description in RNAcentral is "partial 18S ribosomal RNA". It matches the Rfam family "Eukaryotic small subunit ribosomal RNA", at positions 1299 to 1458 of the family's 1831-position model. The record is from RNAcentral.
UGGUGGAGUGAUUUGUCUGGUUAAUUCCGUUAACGAACGAGACCUCGACCUGCUAAAUAGUUUGGGGAAUUUUCGAAUUCUUCUCAUUAACUUCUUAGAGGGACAAUCGGUUUUAGCCGAAGGAAGUGCGAGGCAAUAACA